AUAAUAUAGGGGAGGGAGGAGGUUACAGAGAGGAGUCGAUCAUUGGUGAUGAUGGUGUUGGUAGUGGCGAAUGAUGGUUGCGUGGAAGGGACUUCUCAUGAUUAAGGAAUUAGGGUAUUUUAAUUUAAUAACGAACUUUAGAACGAAAAAGGGAAGAAACAGCAAUACAAAAUCCAUUAAUGCGCACAGUCGGGCUUUCUGUUUUUGAUCUCUCUUCUUCUAUACUGCUCUGUGCUUUCUAGUUUUUUAUAAGAACGCUGCCUUUGC
Molecule: unclassified non-coding RNA, 267 nt
Filed under: Hevea brasiliensis (rubber tree)
Lineage: Eukaryota; Viridiplantae; Streptophyta; Magnoliopsida; Malpighiales; Euphorbiaceae
Source: RNAcentral